RNAcentral lists this transfer-messenger RNA (327 nucleotides) under Azoarcus sp. It matches the Rfam family "Betaproteobacteria transfer-messenger RNA". From Rfam's summary of the family: Bacterial tmRNA, also known as 10Sa RNA or SsrA, is named for its dual tRNA and mRNA-like properties. Its role is to liberate the mRNA from a stalled ribosome. Lineage: Bacteria; Pseudomonadati; Pseudomonadota; Betaproteobacteria; Rhodocyclales; Zoogloeaceae. The record is from RNAcentral.
CCGGUCGUGACGUCUUGCAAUCGUCCCGCUCUGCCCCCAUCAUUCGGACAUGGUUGUAAUUCCGGCAAUCUGGCGGUGUUCUGGACAGGGGUUCGACUCCCCUCACCUCCACCUAAACGCAUCGGAACGUGUGUUUAGGUGGGGGUGUCACGGCUUCGACAGGGCAGACAAAGGUGAGCAGGCAACUCGAGAGGCGACGGACGUAAUCCGCGCAAAUCCUUAAACGCCAACGAUGAGCGUUUCGCAAUCGCUGCAUAAGCAGAUUGCCGGGGCCGCUGAAGCCUUGUAACUCAAGACAGCCGGUGGGGACUUCGGUCCCCAUCGUCA